ACAUGCAGUCGAGCGGACUUGAUGGAGUGCUUGCACUCCUGAUGGUUAGCGGCGGACGGGUGAGUAACACGUAGGCAACCUGCCCUCAAGACUGGGAUAACUACCGGAAACGGUAGCUAAUACCGGAUAAUUUAUUUUGCAGCAUUGUGAAAUAAUGAAAGGCGGAGCAAUCUGUCACUUGAGGAUGGGCCUGCGGCGCAUUAGCUAGUUGGUGGGGUAACGGCCCACCAAGGCGACGAUGCGUAGCCGACCUGAGAGGGUGAACGGCCACACUGGGACUGAGACACGGCCCAGACUCCUACGGGAGGCAGCAGUAGGGAAUCUUCCGCAAUGGGCGAAAGCCUGACGGAGCAACGCCGCGUGAGUGAUGAAGGUUUUCGGAUCGUAAAGCUUUGUUGCCAAGGAAGAACGUCUUCUAGAGUAACUGCUAGG
This 432-nucleotide ribosomal RNA is filed under the name Paenibacillus sp. NFN151. RNAcentral describes it as "bacterial SSU rRNA". It matches the Rfam family "Bacterial small subunit ribosomal RNA", at positions 53 to 472 of the family's 1533-position model. Lineage: Bacteria; Bacillati; Bacillota; Bacilli; Caryophanales; Paenibacillaceae. The record is from RNAcentral.